This is a regulatory RNA element of 99 nucleotides. It matches the Rfam family "Guanidine-I riboswitch aptamer". From Rfam's summary of the family: This family represents a conserved RNA structure found upstream of the ykkC and yxkD genes in Bacillus subtilis and related genes in other bacteria. The function of this family is unclear although it has been suggested that it may function to switch on efflux pumps and detoxification systems in response to harmful environmental molecules. The record is from Rfam.
GGAAAGUGUACCUAGGGUUCCACAAUUCCUAUGGAGUUGGUUUGGUCCAAGCGGUACAAGCGUUUACGCUACACCGAUAGGGAUAAAAGCCCAGGCGGU